Non-coding RNA from Trichonephila clavipes, 81 nucleotides. The record is from the annotation of a GenBank genome assembly. NCBI's taxonomy places the organism in Eukaryota, Metazoa, Arthropoda, Arachnida, Araneae, Nephilidae.
GUCAGGAUGGCCGAGCGGUUUAAGGCGCUGCGUUCAGGUCCUAGUCCACUUUUGGCGUGGGUUCGAAUCCCACUUCUGACA